GCUUGUCUCAAAGAUUAAGCCAUGCACGUCUAAGUAUAAGCGAUUAUACUGUGAAACUGCGAAUGGCUCAUUAUAUCAGUUAUAGUUUAUUUGAUGGUCCUUGCUACUUGGAUAACCGUAGUAAUUCUAGAGCUAAUACAUGCAUAAAGCCCUGACUGUUUGGAAGGGGUGUAUUUAUUAGAUGGAAACCAAUGCAGGGCAACCUGGAAUAUGGUGAUUCAUAAUAACUCGCGGAUCGGUUUACCGAUGCAUCAUUCAAGUUUCUGCCCUAUCAGCUUUGGAUGGUAGGGUAUUGGCCUACCAUGGCUUUAACGGGUAACGGAGAAUUAGGGUUCGAUUCCGGAGAGGGAGCCUGAGAGAUGGCUACCACAUCCAAGGAAGGCAGCAGG
RNAcentral lists this ribosomal RNA (389 nucleotides) under uncultured Chrysophyceae. RNAcentral's name for it is "partial small subunit ribosomal RNA". It matches the Rfam family "Eukaryotic small subunit ribosomal RNA", at positions 30 to 432 of the family's 1831-position model. Lineage: Eukaryota; Chrysophyceae. The record is from RNAcentral.